Molecule: ribosomal RNA, 505 nt
Filed under: uncultured bacterium
Lineage: Bacteria
Description: partial 16S ribosomal RNA
Rfam family: Bacterial small subunit ribosomal RNA
Source: RNAcentral
GACGAACGCUGGCGGCGUGCCUAAUACAUGCAAGUAGAACGCACAGUUUAUACCGUAGCUUGCUACACCAUAGACUGUGAGUUGCGAACGGGUGAGUAACGCGUAGGUAACCUGCCUGGUAGCGGGGGAUAACUAUUGGAAACGAUAGCUAAUACCGCAUAAUAUUAAUUAUUGCAUGAUAAUUAAUUGAAAGGUGCAAUUGCACCACUACCAGAUGGACCUGCGUUGUAUUAGCUAGUAGGUGAGGUAACGGCUCACCUAGGCGACGAUACAUAGCCGACCUGAGAGGGUGAUCGGCCACACUGGGACUGAGACACGGCCCAGACUCCGACGGGAGGCAGCAGUAGGGAAUCUUCGGCAAUGGACGAAAGUCUGACCGAGCAACGCCGCGUGAGGGAAGAAGGGUUUCGGAUCGUAAAGCUCUGUUGUAAGAGAAGAACGGGUGUGAGAGUGGAAAGUUCACACUGUGACGGUAUCUUACCAGAAAGGGGCGGCUAACUACGUG